This 254-nucleotide ribosomal RNA is filed under the name uncultured bacterium. Its description in RNAcentral is "partial 16S ribosomal RNA". It matches the Rfam family "Bacterial small subunit ribosomal RNA", at positions 524 to 776 of the family's 1533-position model. The record is from RNAcentral.
GACGAACCGUGCGAACGUUAUUCGGAAUCACUGGGCUUAAAGCGCGUGUAGGCGGGAGGGCACGUCCGACGUUGAAAGCCCCCGGCUCAACCGGGGAACGGGCGCGGAUACGACCUUCCUGGAGGGACGUAGGGGGACCUGGAACUUCCGGUGGAGCGGUGAAAUGCGUUGAGAUCGGAAGGAACGCCCGUGGCGAAAGCGCGUGACUGGGCCACAACUGACGCUGAGGAACGAAAGCCAGGGGAGCGAAAGGG